UACGUAGGGGGCAAGCGUUGUCCGGAUUUAUUGGGCGUAAAGAGCGUGUAGGCGGCCGUACAGGUCAGCUGUGAAAACUCGAGGCUCAACCUCGAGACGUCGGUUGAAACCGUACGGCUGGAGUCCGGAAGAGGAGAGUGGAAUUCCCGGUGUAGCGGUGAAAUGCGCAGAUAUCGGGAAGAACACGCGUGGCGAAGGCGGCUCUCUGGGACGGUACUGACGCUGAGACGCGAAAGCGUGGGGAGCGAACAGG
RNAcentral lists this ribosomal RNA (253 nucleotides) under uncultured bacterium. RNAcentral describes it as "partial 16S ribosomal RNA". It matches the Rfam family "Bacterial small subunit ribosomal RNA", at positions 524 to 776 of the family's 1533-position model. The record is from RNAcentral.